RNAcentral lists this ribosomal RNA (497 nucleotides) under uncultured bacterium. RNAcentral's name for it is "partial 16S ribosomal RNA". It matches the Rfam family "Bacterial small subunit ribosomal RNA", at positions 28 to 507 of the family's 1533-position model. The record is from RNAcentral.
GAUGAACGCUGGCGGCGUGCCUAAUACACGCAAGUCGAGCGAACAGACGAGGAGCUUGCUCCUCUGACGUUAGCGGCGGACGGGUGAGUAACACGUGGAUAACCUACCUAUAAGACUGGGAUAACUUCGGGAAACCGGAGCUAAUACCGGAUAAUAUAUUGAACCGCAUGGUUCAAUAGUGAAAGACGGUUUUGCUGUCACUUAUAGAUGGAUCCGCGCCGCAUUAGCUAGUUGGUAAGGUAACGGCUUACCAAGGCAACGAUGCGUAGCCGACCUGAGAGGGUGAUCGGCCACACUGGAACUGAGACACGGUCCAGACUCCUACGGGAGGCAGCAGUAGGGAAUCUUCCGCAAUGGGCGAAAGCCUGACGGAGCAACGCCGCGUGAAUGAUGAAGGUCUUCGGAUCGUAAAACUCUGUUAUUAGGGAAGAACAAAUGUGUAAGUAACUAUGCACGUCUUGACGGUACCUAAUCAGAAAGCCACGGCUAACUACGUG